UUCCACUCUCUCAAUUAUUUUGC
Molecule: small nuclear RNA, 23 nt
Filed under: Arabidopsis thaliana (thale cress)
Lineage: Eukaryota; Viridiplantae; Streptophyta; Magnoliopsida; Brassicales; Brassicaceae
Description: snRNA_02201
Source: RNAcentral